Molecule: ribosomal RNA, 470 nt
Filed under: uncultured bacterium
Lineage: Bacteria
Description: partial 16S ribosomal RNA
Rfam family: Bacterial small subunit ribosomal RNA
Source: RNAcentral
GACGAACGCUGGCGGCGUGCUUAACACAUGCAAGUCGAACGCUGAAGCUUGGUGCUUGCACUGGGUGGAUGAGUGGCGAACGGGUGAGUAACACGUGAGUAACCUGCCCUUAACUCUGGGAUAAGCCUGGGAAACUGGGUCUAAUACCGGAUAGGAGCGUCCACCGCAUGGUGGGUGUUGGAAAGAUUUAUCGGUUUUGGAUGGACUCGCGGCCUAUCAGCUUGUUGGUGAGGUAAUGGCUCACCAAGGCGACGACGGGUAGCCGGCCUGAGAGGGUGACCGGCCACACUGGGACUGAGACACGGCCCAGACUCCUACGGGAGGCAGCAGUGGGGAAUAUUGCACAAUGGGCGCAAGCCUGAUGCAGCGACGCCGCGUGAGGGAUGACGGCCUUCGGGUUGUAAACCUCUUUCAGUAGGGAAGAAGCGAAAGUGACGGUACCUGCAGAAGAAGCACCGGCUAACUACGUG